AAUCCUAGUUUGAUUCUAUAUAACUUCUUUUUUCGUCAUUGUUGGGGGGCAGGAACAAAUAUUGAGCUUUUUAUUUUGUGAUUUUUUCAAGUUGAGAACACAAAAGAUUGAGGGAAGGAUACGUUCGAAUCAUGAAACACAUUUUGAAAGGGCAGAGAUAAUAAAUUUAGUGUUUCGCUUUCAAGUUCAUGUUCGUAUCUUUAAUCGGUUGUUCCUAGUUGAGCUUGGUGUGGUGAAGGUUGUCUCUCCAACUCGUUCAUGUCCCUCUUCGCUGACUAGAAGAAGGUAAUAGAUCCUCUUUCGUAGUAUUUUUUUUCUAUCGUCUUUUAGAUUUCAAAAUGAUUUUUGAGUGAUUUGAAGCUUGUGGUGUUGUUUUUUUGUAUUUUUACAUAUUGAUAUGCCUCAUUCAUAACGCUUUAGUUAUUUCAUGGUCUACUAGAAGGUAUUGUUUUCUAUUUUUUUUAUUCGUGCCUAAAUUCGCUUUUCGUUUGUUGUUCCCCUCAAGGUUAUACCACUGCCUCCUCUUGAAAUUCUUUUGAAUGUCAUUGAGCUUGUAUGCCCUUAUUCCCUUGUGUGCUAAUGUCAAAAUUUGUAUUUUUGUAUCACUACUUCUGACCUUCUUACCAAACGAAAGCAAAAUCUUGGAAAAAUUGAUGAUUGCUAAGUAGUAUGUCAUUUUAGUAAUUGUAUGUUGGAUGAUGUGUGUUGGAUGCCACAAAUAGCUUCACUAUUCUAUUUGAUAUCAUGUUGGUCCUAUGGCUCAAUGUGCCUCAUUUAAAUCAAGUUUACACCAUAUUUGCUCAGAUUUUAAAAAUAAAUAAAUAAAUCAAUAAAAUGUUUGUCAUUCGUAAUCAAUCUCCUAAUAUAUAUGAGAUGCAUUCAAAAAUCAUGAUUAAUUCUCUUUUUGUGCUCGCCAUUACCCGGUAGCUUGACUAAACAAAUGCAUUUGGCCAUUUAAUGAUUUACUGUAAGUGUUUAUAUCUAUGUCAUCCUUAGACGAGAAUUACAACUUUGGUUCAUGUCUGUUAAGUAUCUGUUAGUUGUUCAACGUUUUGAUACUAGGAACUUAGUUUUAGGCACAAUGUUUUGUUAGUUAGAAUCUCAGAAGUUGUCCUUCGCUUCAUUUUACAAAUGUUCUUCUAACAUAGAAUACAUGUUUCUGAUGUGCCAAACGAGUUGUCUUCCAAUUUCUAUAUCCUGCUUCGCUUUUCUCUAAAUUUUUGGCAUAUAAAAAUGAUUGUUUGACAUUGACUUGUGCCUUUGUUGGUCUCUCUCUAUGUGACAAGAUGAUUUUUCUAAUUUUGAUGUUAUUCCUUAGUGGUAUUACUUGCUCAUUUUGUAUUUGUUCCUCAGUAAUUCAAUGGAUUAUUCAUCAAUAUGAGAAAUUUGUUUGGGACCGAAAACCAAUGGAAGCUAAAAAAGGAGUUUGCUCAUAAGUUGUUUGAACACAUGCUUACAGUGAUCAAAAUGUACUCUUUGUCUUAACAUCUUUGUUUGAAUGACUCAUGUGAUUUAUUUUGAUCUUCCGGAAAUUGGUUGGCAGUAUUCGUGAGUGAAAACCGAAGUAGCCCUUUUUCUUUCUUCUUUUUCUCACUG
Molecule: long non-coding RNA, 1596 nt
Filed under: Solanum lycopersicum (tomato)
Lineage: Eukaryota; Viridiplantae; Streptophyta; Magnoliopsida; Solanales; Solanaceae
Description: long non-coding RNA (SLYC_LNC000628)
Source: RNAcentral